Molecule: RNA transcript, 2271 nt
Organism: Anarrhichthys ocellatus (wolf-eel)
Lineage: Eukaryota; Metazoa; Chordata; Actinopteri; Perciformes; Anarhichadidae
Gene name: chemokine-like protein TAFA-5
Exons: 5
Source: RefSeq, a predicted model, not a curated record
CGCACUGUGCGCACUUUUCCUCCCGCUCCUUUCUCCCACAGUCUGUCUGUUCAUUCUCCAUCCUCCGUUCGCUCCUGCAAGCAUGCUGGGAUCCUCAUCUACUUCGUUCCAAAACCGCGAGCAUAAAUGACUUUUUCCUCCUUUUGCGAUCAACCCUCCUUCAUCCAUCCAGACGUUCAUUCAGCGGAUUUUACAGCACCGCGUUCAUUUUUCAACCCGGUCUUUGGGCUAUGCCGUCGGGGCUGGUGAGGCUCGAUAGAAACGAGGAAAACCUACCACAGGUGAAAGGAGGUUUUUACGACGCUGCGGUAUAGGUGAUUGAACACUUUGAGAAUUAACUCAACGCAAUCUUCAGGCAGCAGCGCGGCGCGCUUCCUUUUACUCAAAUAUAGGACUAAAAUUGAGGUUCACACACUUUGGAAAGACUGAAAGGGACGCUUACCAACUUGUGUUUCUGCACAAAUAGAAUAAAAAAAAAAAAACACUACGUUUAUUUCUUAACUGGGAUUCCGAAGGAAGAUGUGACCUUUUCCUUUGCGCACCGGCAAUCUGACUAGCUAAGGAGCAAACCACUGCUUUUCCAUCAGUUGCUCCAUCUUGACAUGUCUUUUUGUGGGAUUACACGCGGAGAUAUGAGCAUUGUGAGAGGCCGAGCUGGAUUGUGAGUUUACCGUCUUUGCUUUUAUUCGUCUCCUCAAAGAGGAAGUGCUCCGUUUGUUCAAUGGCUUCAGUGUCGAGGGUGGCAAGACGCAAAGAUACCAGUCGCUGGCCGAGAAUGUCGUCAACUUUCUGGGCUGUGGUGCUUCUGACAGCGCUGCUGGUUCUCUACUGCGGCCAGCUGGCAGCGGGGACAUGUGAGAUUGUGACGCUGGACAGGGACAGCAGCCAACCACGGCGGACCAUCGCCAGGCAGACGGCCCGCUGCGCCUGUAAGAAGGGCCAGAUCGCUGGAACUACAAGAGCCAGACCCGCCUGUGUGGACGCUGGUAUUGUUCGGAAAAAGCAGUGGUGUGAGAUGGUGCCAUGUUUGGAGGACGAAGGCUGUGACCUGUUAGUCAAUAAAUCUGGCUGGACUUGUACGCAGCCCGGAGGCCGAGUCAAAACCACCACGGCUCUAUGACGCGACAAGAGUCCCCCUCGACACUCUUGCACUAUGGAGAGCAUUGAUGACCCCUUGACAGACAGCCAAAAACCAUCUGCCAACAGCACCCUACCACCACCACCACCAACAUCACAACAACUCCACCCAAACCCUGGUCCAGCAAAGGCAGGAAGCAACACAAGCAGCGACAGAGCACCAAGAGCCACAUGGAGGCAGCAAGGUCUCAUAACGCAGCUAGAGAUGGUAAAACCAGGGAUUGACUGUUUGAGGGAGCAAGCUUUCUCCUGGACACUGGACAGACUACUUGCUGUAAAACCCUUUCCGUUUCCUGUGGCAAGCCCCUCCGGGUUUCUGACUGCUCCCAACUGCUAUCUGUCAUUGGGUCAAAAUGUUGUGUCCACCUCCUCUCCACUCUAUCUGCCUGCUCUGUGAAAUUAGCAGUGCCUGCUUGUACCACGGCGGAUCGGACACUUUGAAUCCUACGAAUGAUUUUUGCCUCAUUGGAAGUACUUUGUUUGAAACUGCUAACUGCUUUGAAAAGGGGAUUUCUCCACAACUUUCUCCUAGCCUCUAGAGCAGCAGUUCCAGAGCAAAGACGGGACUCAUUACAGACCGGACCCUGUUGCUUCUCGGACCACCUCACGCGGCCGUCAAAAAAACAAACUGAGCGCUCUUUGCUGUGAAUAGGCCUUCUGCUGGAGUAAACCUCCCAUAUUUUUAUAGACCAAAGAGCAAAACAACAAAUACGAUCAUUAUGACAAAGUGGACCAUGUGGCAAGGAUACGCAGAGACUUUGUGAACUUGCUUUUACUGUCGCCACCGACCAACGACUGCCCCCACAGAGACACGGUGCACAAAUGGGCCAACGCAAACGACAACUGGCGUCCGGUGGCACAUGUAUUGGACACGAUCAAAGGAGUACUUUUAAAACUUUCCAGACAUUUUUUCUCAGACUAAGUCCACCACUGUAUUUCGGAACUGGAGAUAUAGGUACUACAUACGUAUAACUGUGUAUCAAAAAAAAAAAAUUCUGAUUUGCAUUUUUCAGUAGCUACGGUUGGGACAGCUUGAAGGAAGCAUUGUCGAGUUGGUCAUGGAUCAGGAGCGCAAAUCAUAUUAAAGAGAUGAUGAAUAUUUACAGAGCGUAUAAAUGCUAUUGAGUCUGAAGA